AGUGAACGCUGGCGGUAGGCCUAACACAUGCCAGUCGAACGGCAGCACAGUAAGAGCUUGCUCUUACGGGUGGCGAGUGGCGGACGGGUGAGGAAUACAUCGGAAUCUACUUUUUCGUGGGGGAUAACGUAGGGAAACUUACGCUAAUACCGCAUACGACCUACGGGUGAAAGCAGGGGAUCUUCGGACCUUGCGCGAUUGAAUGAGCCGAUGUCGGAUUAGCUAGUUGGCGGGGUAAAGGCCCACCAAGGCGACGAUCCGUAGCUGGUCUGAGAGGAUGAUCAGCCACACUGGAACUGAGACACGGUCCAGACUCCUACGGGAGGCAGCAGUGGGGAAUAUUGGACAAUGGGCGCAAGCCUCAUCCAGCCAUACCGCGUGGGUGAAGAAGGCCUUCGGGUUGUAAAGCCCUUUUGUUGGGAAAGAAAAGCAGCAGGUUAAUACCCCGCUGUUCUGACGGUACCCAAAGAAUAAGCACCGGCUAACUUCGU
Molecule: ribosomal RNA, 491 nt
Filed under: uncultured bacterium
Lineage: Bacteria
Description: partial 16S ribosomal RNA
Rfam family: Bacterial small subunit ribosomal RNA
Source: RNAcentral